RNAcentral lists this ribosomal RNA (309 nucleotides) under Acanthodactylus aureus. RNAcentral describes it as "partial 12S ribosomal RNA". It matches the Rfam family "Bacterial small subunit ribosomal RNA", at positions 869 to 1344 of the family's 1533-position model. The record is from RNAcentral. Lineage: Eukaryota; Metazoa; Chordata; Lepidosauria; Squamata; Lacertidae.
CCGCCAGAGAAUUACUAGUGAAAAACUUGAAACUCAAAGGACUUGGCGGUGUCCCACUUCGACCUAGAGGAGCCUGUCCUAUAAUCGAUACUCCCCGNUCAACCCAACCUCAACUUGCAUAUUCAGCCUAUAUACCGCCGUCGACAGUCUACCCCAUGAGGGCUUAAUAGUAGACAUAAUAGUUUCACCACUAACACGUCAGGUCAAGGUGUAGCAAAUGCUGAGGAAAGCGAUUGGCUACAUUUUUUUAAUAAAAAUAAACGAAAUGCAACAUGAAAUCAUGCAUGAAGGUGAAUUUAGCAGUAAGAU